GGUUACCUUGUUACGAACUUCACCCCAGUCAUGAAACACAAACUGGUAAUGCGUCCUCCCGAAGGUAAAAGCUUACCUACUUCUUUUGCAUCCCACUCCCAUCGUGUGACGGGCGGUGUGUUCUAUGCCCGGGAACGUAUUCUCCGCACUAUGCUGACCUGCCAUUACAAUCCAUUCCAACUUCAUGGAAGUCGAGUUGAAUACUCCAAUCCGGACUACAACUACCUUAAAGGGGUCGGGUCACA
RNAcentral lists this ribosomal RNA (245 nucleotides) under uncultured gamma proteobacterium SUR-ATT-7. Its description in RNAcentral is "partial 16S ribosomal RNA". Lineage: Bacteria; Pseudomonadati; Pseudomonadota; Gammaproteobacteria. The record is from RNAcentral.